RNAcentral lists this transfer RNA (73 nucleotides) under Agrilus planipennis (emerald ash borer). It matches the Rfam family "tRNA". From Rfam's summary of the family: Transfer RNA (tRNA) molecules are approximately 80 nucleotides in length. Their secondary structure includes four short double-helical elements and three loops (D, anti-codon, and T loops). Further hydrogen bonds mediate the characteristic L-shaped molecular structure. tRNAs have two regions of fundamental functional importance: the anti-codon, which is responsible for specific mRNA codon recognition, and the 3' end, to which the tRNAs corresponding amino acid is attached (by aminoacyl-tRNA synthetases). tRNAs cope with the degeneracy of the genetic code in two manners: having more than one tRNA (with a specific anti-codon) for a particular amino acid; and 'wobble' base-pairing, i.e. permitting non-standard base-pairing at the 3rd anti-codon position. Lineage: Eukaryota; Metazoa; Arthropoda; Insecta; Coleoptera; Buprestidae. The record is from Rfam by way of RNAcentral.
UCUCUCGUAGCUUAGAGGUCAGAGCAUUGGUGCGUAAAGUCAAAGAUCCCGGGUUUUUUUCCCGGCAAGGGUG